CGGGCUCGGCCCGAUCCUCCCA
RNAcentral lists this ribosomal RNA (22 nucleotides) under Botryosphaeria dothidea. RNAcentral describes it as "partial 18S ribosomal RNA". Lineage: Eukaryota; Fungi; Ascomycota; Dothideomycetes; Botryosphaeriales; Botryosphaeriaceae. The record is from RNAcentral.